Molecule: ribosomal RNA, 253 nt
Filed under: uncultured bacterium
Lineage: Bacteria
Description: partial 16S ribosomal RNA
Rfam family: Bacterial small subunit ribosomal RNA
Source: RNAcentral
UACAGAGGCCCCAAGCGUUACUGAGAAUCACUGGGUUUAAAGGGUGCGUAGGUGGCGCGUUAAGUCCGUUGUGAAAGCCCUGGGCUCAACCCAGGAACUGCUUCGGAUACUGGCGCGCUUGAGGCUAGUAGAGGUCACUGGAACUGACGGUGGAGCGGUGAAAUGCGUAGAUAUCGUCAGGAACGCCAAUGGUGAAGACAGGUGACUGGGCUAGUUCUGACACUGAGGCACGAAAGCGUGGGGAGCAAACAGG